Molecule: ribosomal RNA, 567 nt
Filed under: uncultured bacterium
Lineage: Bacteria
Description: bacterial SSU rRNA
Rfam family: Bacterial small subunit ribosomal RNA
Source: RNAcentral
CCUACGGGAGGCAGCAGUGGGGAAUAUUGGGCAAUGGAGGAAACUCUGACCCAGCGACGCCGCGUGAGGGAUGAAGGCCUUCGGGUUGUAAACCUCUUUCAGUAGGGAAGAAGCGAAAGUGACGGUACCUACAGAAGAAGCACCGGCUAACUAUGUGCCAGCAGCCGCGGUGAUACAUAGGGUGCAAGCGUUGUCCGGAAUUAUUGGGCGUAAAGAGCUCGUAGGUGGUUCGAUACGUCGGAUGUGAAAAUCAGGGGCUCAACCCCUGACCUGCAUCCGAUACGGUCGAGCUAGAGUUUGGUAGGGGAGACUGGAAUUCCUGGUGUAGCGGUGGAAUGCGCAGAUAUCAGGAGGAACACCGAUGGCGAAGGCAGGUCUCUGGGCCAAUACUGACACUGAGGAGCGAAAGCGUGGGGAGCGAACAGGAUUAGAUACCCUGGUAGUCCACGCCGUAAACGGUGGGCGCUAGUUGUGCGAACCUUCCACGGUUUGUGCGACGCAGCUAACGCAUUAAGCGCCCCGCCUGGGGAGUACGAUCGCAAGNUUAAAACUCAAAGGAAUUGACGG